This 412-nucleotide unclassified non-coding RNA is filed under the name Hevea brasiliensis (rubber tree). The record is from RNAcentral. Lineage: Eukaryota; Viridiplantae; Streptophyta; Magnoliopsida; Malpighiales; Euphorbiaceae.
UGGGAAGAUUGUCGAGUAUCAUAACAUUGCUAGUGAUCUCAAGUAUCGAGAAUUUAUCUUGUACAAACCACAGAACGGUGGAUGUGAAGAGGGUUCCAUCAUUACUUCCAUUGGUUUCCUAAAGGAAGCUCCACUGGUGAAUAUUCAUGGUUUCAGUGUCUACUACAAGAAUCGUUUGAUACUGCCAUUUUGGCAUGUGGUAGUAGGCUUUUCUGUCAAUAGAAGCAGAGGGGUUGUAGGUGUUCUAGAAGCAAAUUUUAUUAAGCCAACUCAUAAUAAACAGGACUUUGAGAAAACUCCCCUCUUUCACAAGCUUGAGCACCGAUUAAAAGAGAUGACAUGGGAGUACUGGGACCAUCACUGUGGAUUAAUUGGUUAUCAUGCAACUAAACAGCUUCGUGCACCUUCUCAG